RNAcentral lists this ribosomal RNA (587 nucleotides) under uncultured bacterium. Its description in RNAcentral is "bacterial SSU rRNA". It matches the Rfam family "Bacterial small subunit ribosomal RNA", at positions 338 to 916 of the family's 1533-position model. The record is from RNAcentral.
CCUACGGGAGGCAGCAGUGGGGAAUUUUGGACAAUGGGGGCAACCCUGAUCCAGCCAUUCCGCGUGAGUGAAGAAGGCCUUCGGGUUGUAAAGCUCUUUUGUCGGGGACGAAACGGUUACGAUUAAUACUCGUGACAACUGACGGUACCCGAAGAAUAAGCACCGGCUAACUACGUGCCAGCAGCCGCGGUAAUACGUAGGGUGCGAGCGUUAAUCGGAAUUACUGGGCGUAAAGCGUGCGCAGGCGGUUUUGUAAGCCAGAUGUGAAAUCCCCGGGCUUAACCUGGGAAUGGCAUUUGGGACUGCAAGGCUAGAGUAUGGCAGAGGAGACUAGAAUUUCUGGUGUAGCAGUGAAAUGCGUAGAUAUCAGAAGGAAUACCGAUGGCGAAGGCAGGUCUCUGGGUCAAUACUGACGCUCAUGCACGAAAGCGUGGGGAGCAAACAGGAUUAGAUACCCUGGUAGUCCACGCCCUAAACGAUGUCAACUGGUUGUUGGGAGAUUUAUUCUCUUAGUAACGAAGCUAACGCGUGAAGUUGACCGCCUGGGGAGUACGGUCGCAAGAUUAAAACUCAAAAUGAAUUGACGG